GCCAGACUCCUACGGGAGGCAGCAGUGGGGAAUAUUGCACAAUGGGGGAAACCCUGAUGCAGCGACGCCGCGUGAGUGAAGAAGUAAUUCGUUAUGUAAAGCUCUAUCAGCAGGGAAGAAAAUGACGGUACCUGAGUAAGAAGCCCCGGCUAACUACGUGCCAGCAGCCGCGGUAAUACGUAGGGGGCAAGCGUUAUCCGGAUUUACUGGGUGUAAAGGGAGCGUAGACGGCAGUGCAAGUCUGGAGUGAAAGGCGGGGGCUCAACCCCCUGACUGCUCUGGAAACUGCGUCGCUGGAGUACGGGAGGGGCAGGCGGAAUUCCUGGUGUAGCGGUGAAGUGCGUAGAUAUCAGGAGGAACACCGGCGGCGAAGGCGGCCUGCUGGACCGUGACUGACGUUGAGGCUCGAGAGCGUGGGGAGCAAACAGGAUUAGAUACCCCCGUAUA
Molecule: ribosomal RNA, 447 nt
Filed under: uncultured bacterium
Lineage: Bacteria
Description: bacterial SSU rRNA
Rfam family: Bacterial small subunit ribosomal RNA
Source: RNAcentral